CCGAGUUUACAACUCCCAAACCCCUGUGAACAUACCACUUGUUGCCUCGGCGGAUCAGCCCGCUCCCGGUAAAACGGGACGGCCCGCCAGAGGACCCCCAAACUCUGUUUCUAUAUGUAACUUCUGAGUAAAACCAUAAAUAAAUCA
RNAcentral lists this unclassified non-coding RNA (147 nucleotides) under soil metagenome. RNAcentral's name for it is "partial internal transcribed spacer 1". The record is from RNAcentral.